UUUAAGCAAAAAAUAGCCCGAGGAGACUGAGGACCGGGACCACUAGACCACCCUCCAACCGCCAUUUAUGACCAAAAGAGGGAGCCAGCUUCGAGUCUUCACGCUCUAGAUUUGUAAUGUAAUCCACAAAAGAAACAGUUUGGCUUAAUGGAAAGAGCAUUGGAUUUGGAUGCCCUGAAUUCUUGCUAAAGGAAGUCAUUUGCAAGGGUUUGCCUUUUGAACUCAGGUUCUGACUUCAAAUCCAGUGGAUUUUCUACUUCACAUAAAUCCUACUAGUAUAUAGUGAAAUAGAAGACAUGGCUUGAGGUCAAAAAGGUCAAAAUAAUUCAUAUGAAAAUCAUGAUCUAAUUAAAUAAACAAAAUGCAAAUCAUGUAUUCCACAUCUUUCUUUGAUUUUUAAGCAGUUCAACAUUUAUAAAGUGUUUCCUCUGUGUAGAACAGUGUGCUGGGUA
Sarcophilus harrisii (Tasmanian devil) is the source of this 452-nucleotide long non-coding RNA. RefSeq lists it as uncharacterized. Lineage: Eukaryota; Metazoa; Chordata; Mammalia; Dasyuromorphia; Dasyuridae. The transcript has 2 exons. The record is from RefSeq and is a predicted model, not a curated record.